Molecule: non-coding RNA, 545 nt
Organism: Meleagris gallopavo (turkey)
Lineage: Eukaryota; Metazoa; Chordata; Aves; Galliformes; Phasianidae
Source: RefSeq, a predicted model, not a curated record
ACCCAGCCAUGGAAAUGGCUGGCAGAGCAGCAACCCGCCUGUGUCUUCAUCUGGACAAGGCACCAACUGAAGCUUGAGGAAAGCCCAUGCCACACUCUGCACUGCACUGUGGUCCUACAAGAUCUCGGGAUCUGCACUGCAUGGACAGAGGAAGCUCCACAACACCUCUCAGCUACGGUCCCCACCAUGGACUUGCACACAUGUACGUUUUCCACAGAGAUAAGCAGGUGCUUAUGUCUGCUCACCUUGGGAUGGUGUCAGGAACUUGAAUAUCGCACACAUCAGCAUCUCAAGGAACCAUAUGGACAUGUCUACAAUUGACCCUUGAAGAUAAGGAACAAACAAGAAGAUAAAAAAGGAUGAAUGGGCCCACUUGAAAAAUACCAGAGACACCACAUGCAGAAGAGUAGGCAAGCACCAUAAGUGAGCAUGCUCCUGUGAUCGGGGAUGAAAGACUGUCAGCCUUCCUUCCUUGACCUCCAGACAACCACUGAGAAGCUAUCACAAAAUUAAAGACAAAUUAAAAACCUUCAAAAUAAACUUUC